GAAACCUCUCUGAGCACUGAUUGGCCUGGCCUGUACAGACAGGCCCUAGGGGUUAGGGAAAAAGCCCAUGUGGUAUUUCCAGGUAACUGCAGGAGACAGAGGAGAAUGUGCCACGUCAGGCUGGGGCUUGAAAUUUCUCAAGUUUAUCACCAUAAUCUAUCUUUGUGACAUACCUUUCCUCCUGCAAGGCACUUUCCCACAUAUCAGCUCACUUCAUCUUCACGGUGCUCAAGUAAGGUAGGCCAUGUGGCUAUCACGUCCCUCAUAUGGCACUGACAGACUGUCAAGGUCAUACCAGGGAGAACACUGGGCAGGCCCAAGGCAUUGUUGCCUUUGCCACUCUGUUACCCAGAGUUGCCGUAGCUUGGAAUCAUUGCUUUUGGAGGAUCUAUUUGGUCUAGAAAAUGUGGGUACAGCCCAGGGUCAUGUGGGCAUGUCAGGAGGUAGCCACACAAGCCACAGGAUGCUGGGAAUGAAAUGCCCCCAGUUAAGAGGGACUGUCCUCUCAGGAUUUCAAAGCACUUCUGGUGUCUCAAUAAUCACGUUUGUCUGGUGGAUGGAUCCCUGCUUUUCAAACAUCAACUAAAAAUAUAAAACCAGAGAGGUACCUGGCUGGCUUAGUUGGUAGAGCAUGUGACUCUUGAUCUCAGGGUUGUGAGUUCAAGCCCAUGUUGGGCAUAGAGCUUACUUUAAAAAAAAAAAAAAAAGUAAAGUCAGUGAGUCAUUUUAUAACUAGAAUGAUCAUCCUGUUUUAUCGUCUCUUCUAAAAUUUCGGUUUUUAUAAAUGAAGUUUCCCAAAGUGGUUACAUAUAUAAAGGAAGAAAAGGAGAAAAGCAAGUUCUGUUCUUGUAUAUUCCAAAGAAAUAGCUACUAUAUACUAGUCAGGGCUUACUAUGUGCUGGACACUCUUUUAAGUCAUUAAACACAUUAUCUCAUUUAAUUUUUAUAAGCACUCCAUAUGGCAUUACCCUUCUUAGGGGUGGACCAGGGUUUUUGAGGCUCAGAAGCUUAUAAAGUUGGAGGCCCUCUUCUGUAAUCAUACAAUUGCAAACUAUAUGUAAAUUUUAACUAUAUGAUUAUAAACACUGUACAGAGUUAGAUACAGAACCUUGGCAAAUAAGGGUUCCUAGUUUCAUGGCCUGGUCUGCAAAUGCACAAAUUGAAUGUCCGAAAGGCUAAGUCAUUGUCUAAAGUCACACAGCUCAUAAUCAGUGGGAUUUAAAGGCAGGUCUGCUCAGCUCUUCAUCAUCAUGUUAUCCUUCUCUGAGAAUGAGAACACACACACAUAGUGUGUACAUAGUGUAUACACACACUAUGUACAGCACUGUUCUAAGCACUUCACAUAUUUUAACAUCAUUUCAUUCUCACACAACACUAUGAUGUUGUGGAAAUUGGGGCACAGAGGUUAAAUAACUUGCUCAAAGUUACACAGCAGUCAAUGGGAACCCUAAGAGACAAUGAGAAUGGGUUUGCUGAGACAUACAGUUUGAGCUUGCAUUAAAUAGAAUGCAUACCCCCAGGCCCCUUCAGUACCAAAUACUCUUAAAAGGAAAAUUGAACCUGAGCUUCUUGCUUCAUGGCUUCUC
Vulpes vulpes (red fox) is the source of this 1586-nucleotide long non-coding RNA. Lineage: Eukaryota; Metazoa; Chordata; Mammalia; Carnivora; Canidae. The record is from Ensembl.